GUCAGAUACAUCUUCAAUUUCUGUGAAUAUAUUUUCUUCAAAUAUUUUCUUGAUCCGUUCUCUCUUGGAUUCAUAUCCAAUUUCAAUAAACAAAACACUAUCCUGUUUUUUCUUGAUCCAUCGCAUUGUAUCAAGAAGAAAAGUGAGCAGAAAUUUCAGAUCCUUCUGAAGAACAUUGACUUGAUUCCUCACAAGAACACUGGAAUAUAUUUGGCAAUUAAGCAAUUUUCCAAUAGUUUCAAGAAGAAAGUCGAUAAACUGGUUACUGUUGGACAAUUGUUGAUGCUGCUAGCUCUAUCAUACACGUGCUUUUGAAUUGUGAAGAACUUUUUAGGCUCUGGCAUGAAAGAUAAGAUGAUCUCUAAAAAGUUUUUGUAAUGUUUACUCUCUUCGUAUAAGAUGCAGUCGGAGGCUGAAUCAUCAAGAUGCUUCAAUAGAUCAUUAAAUCUCUCGUUGAAGAAUUUCUUCCUGCUUACUUUAUGAAUAAAGCACACUUGUUUUGCAUAUUGGAGAAAUGUUAUAAAGUGUGGCCCAAGUCAUUGAAAACUAACAAUUUUAUUUCCUCCAUCAAGGUUUAAAUCUUGCAAACGGGAAAGGGGAUUUUGGGUUGUGACUAGACUUGACAGAUUUUGAUAAGAAAGAUUCAUCAAGUAUUGUUGGAUUGGGCAGAGACCAAAGAGAGAAAGAGAAGGAAAAUGAAUGUUUCUGAUCUUUGUUUUCA
RNAcentral lists this long non-coding RNA (721 nucleotides) under Olea europaea subsp. europaea. The record is from RNAcentral. Lineage: Eukaryota; Viridiplantae; Streptophyta; Magnoliopsida; Lamiales; Oleaceae.